RNAcentral lists this non-coding RNA (30 nucleotides) under Rattus norvegicus (Norway rat). Lineage: Eukaryota; Metazoa; Chordata; Mammalia; Rodentia; Muridae. The record is from RNAcentral.
UAUGACUAGGACUGCUUCUUGACUCCUGAU